UACGGAGGGUCCAAGCGUUAUCCGGAAUCAUUGGGUUUAAAGGGUCCGUAGGCGGUUUUGUAAGUCAGUGGUGAAAGCCCAUCGCUCAACGGUGGAACGGCCAUUGAUACUGCAAGACUUGAAUUAUUGGGAAGUAACUAGAAUAUGUAGUGUAGCGGUGAAAUGCUUAGAGAUUACAUGGAAUACCAAUUGCGAAGGCAGGUUACUACCAAUAUAUUGACGCUGAUGGACGAAAGCGUGGGGAGCGAACAGG
Molecule: ribosomal RNA, 253 nt
Filed under: uncultured bacterium
Lineage: Bacteria
Also listed under: 1 other name
Description: partial 16S ribosomal RNA
Rfam family: Bacterial small subunit ribosomal RNA
Source: RNAcentral